CUGUUCCCAUCCCUGUCCAUCCUCGCGCUCCUCUUCUCCUCGGCUUUGGCGCUUACCGCUGAAGACGCGGCAACCAUCGCCCGUCGCCAACUGCUCACCUUUGAGAGGCAUGCCGACUACGUCCACAUCGACAUAGACAUCACUAUCAAGAUCAGCAACCCUCGCCUCCGUACGACACACACGGCCUUGCAGGCGCUCAAGCAUGCGCUCUACUCGGACCCCAAGAACUUCACCAGGAAUUGGGUUGGGCCUGACUGCACCUACAAUGGUGUCCUCUGUGUUCCGGCGCCAAACGAUCCGUCUGCGAGCGUUGCGGCAUUGGUGGACAUGAAUGGGGUGGACGUCGAACGGCACCUGCCCAGGGAGAUUGGACUCAUGAUCGAUCUCGUCGUGCUCCACCUCAACUCCAACCGCUUCUGCGGCAUCAUCCCAGAGGAGGUCAAGAACAUGACCCAACUCAAUGAGUUCGACGCUAGCAACAACCGCUUUGUCGGUCCAUUCCCCGAUGUGGUGAUGCGCGUCCCAAAGCUCAGCGGCCUCGACAUUCGAUUCAAUGACUUUGAAGGGCCCAUCCCACCGGAGCUCUUCCUGAAACCUUAUGAUGCCAUCUUCCUCAAUAACAAUCGAUUCACCUCUGGCAUCCCGGACACUAUCGGCAAGUCCAAGGCUUCUGUGAUCGUGCUUGCUAACAACGAGCUCGGCGGGUGCAUUCCUCAGACCAUUGAUGAGGCCGCCGCCACACUCGACCAGUUCAUCUUCAUCAACAACAGCAUCACCGGUUGCCUACCGGUGGAGGCAGGGCUUAUCAGCACCACGACAGUUUUCGAUGUCAGUGGCAAUGCACUCACAGGGUCUAUCCCGAGGACAUUGUCCGGCCUGUUCAAGGUCGAGCAGCUUGAUCUGUCGCAUAACAAGUUUAUCGGGGAGGUGUCCAAAGAUGUGUGUGAGUUGUCGGCUUUGGCAAACAUGUAUGUUUCUUACAACUUCUUCACGAAGGAAGACACCAAGUGC
RNAcentral lists this ribosomal RNA (1011 nucleotides) under Triticum aestivum (bread wheat). RNAcentral describes it as "partial small subunit ribosomal RNA". Lineage: Eukaryota; Viridiplantae; Streptophyta; Magnoliopsida; Poales; Poaceae. The record is from RNAcentral.